AUUGAACGCUGGCGGAAUGCUUUACACAUGCAAGUCGAGCGGCAGCGCGGGGGCAACCCUGGCGGCGAGCGGCGAACGGGUGAGUAAUACAUCGGAACGUGUCCUUGAGUGGGGGAUAGCUCGGCGAAAGCCGGAUUAAUACCGCAUAAGCUCUGCGGAGGAAAGCGGGGGACUGGUAACGGCCUCGCGCUGUUGGAGCGGCCGAUGUCGGAUUAGCUAGUUGGUGGGGAAAGGCCCACCAAGGCGACGAUCCGUAGCUGGUCUGAGAGGAUGAUCAGCCACACUGGAACUGAGACACGGUCCAGACUCCUACGGGAGGCAGCAGUGGGGAAUUUGGACAAUGGGGGCAACCCUGAUCCAGCCAUUCCGCGUGAGU
This 376-nucleotide ribosomal RNA is filed under the name uncultured bacterium. Its description in RNAcentral is "bacterial SSU rRNA". It matches the Rfam family "Bacterial small subunit ribosomal RNA", at positions 28 to 406 of the family's 1533-position model. The record is from RNAcentral.